GAGAGUGAAAAACCCGGGCCCUGGGAGAAAGAAGCCAGUCCUGGUUCUGAGUGUCAGCGGCAGUGCAGAUGAGCUCACCCGGGGACCAGAGCCAUUUAGAGGAUUUGCAGAUGGAACUUCCCCUCGGGGUCCAACUGUGAGUCACUGUGGUUCCUGUCCCUGCAGCGGGCUCCAUCUCCAGGCCUCCCACUUCACCCUGGGACAUUAUGGUCGCUGGUCAGACCUCAUGACUCACUUGGACUCUUGAGCCACCUCUGGGGGUGGAGUCUCUCUCCUGGCAUCUGGACCCUUGGUGCUAUCGACGAAGCUUGGCUGGCGCUCUUAGCUGCUAUGUGCAAGACGUGUGUCCCAGGGAAAGCCCCUCUCUCUCUGCAGAGGUCAAGUGAAAGCCACGGCCGCAGCCAACAGAGUUCAAAAUGCAGGCUUGGAAAGUCCAGGGGGCUCUGUGGAGGAGAUUAGUCCUGAGAGACUGACACCAGAGCCACCUGACGAAUGUGGGUGCUCAGAGCCUUGGACUCGAUGACCUACCUCUCCUGCCUCCCACCUGACUCCUGAAGUAGGGGAGUGUAUUAACAGUCACAGGCCUCAGUUUACCUGCUUUCAGCCUCUGCCCUUCCCGAGAGGGUUGAAGCUGACUUGCUGCAUCGCAGUUUUGUCCUUUAGUUCAUCAGCUCUGGAACUUUCCACUUCUGGUGUUUUUGGUUUCCAAACAGAGGAUUGAGGACGUAUGAGAGCAAUGUUUAGAAAGAUCAGGUUCAAGUUGCCAGCCAGACUCUGGGCUUCCAGGAGGAGUGGGCUGUGGAUGGCCUGGCCUCAUUUGCAUGUCCCUCUCCUCCCGGCCCUGCAGGUGCCACCUCCUGAGUCCUGGUUCCUGCGGCUCCGUCGAAUCUGCAGUGAAGGCCUUUGGGAAGCGUGGGUUAUGUGGGUCCAGGGGUCCCAUCCUCCCGUGGAGGCCCUUGACCUGAGGAUCACUAACUCACACCCCACCGACUUCCGGCCCCCAACAAGGGCAGUGUUCCUCUUGCUCCAUUCUGCUCUGAAGUCCCCCAAACCGCUUCCUGGGGCUGCUUAGUGAAAUACAAGGCUCAUCUCUGAGGACCUCUACAGGGCUGGUGAGUUGAGCCAGGAGUUCAAAUCUGCUCUGCCUUCUCCUUUCUUUCUCCACGUCUGGAAAAGUACAGAAUGGGCAGCUUCUCCUCUCAGAUCCCAAAAGGCAUGUUUUACUGCUCCUGGGGGAGGCUCAGCCUGGGCACAAGCUAUGUCUACUCCUGCCAGGGCCCUGCCCCUCCACUUCCAAACUGUCAAGCAGGAGGAGGGAGGAUGAUUGAACAGAAAGACACAGGAGUUUUAGUGAGUCAGGCUCCCCAGUGUCCAAAAAGGGACCCAGGGCCCAGGGGGAAGAGACAUCCCUGGUAUUUGUUGCCACCUUUGUAAAACCCUCAAGUGCUGGCAGGCAGCACAGAGGGAGUGGCGAUGCCACUUGCCUGCCUAGUCUAUGGGAGGAAUUGGGACAUGUGCUCCCUGGGUGGCCCUGAGCAAGCCAUCGAACUGCUCCCCCAGAGUUUUCCCCAUCUGUAAAGUGGGAAUAAUAACAACACCUGUCCUGCUUACUUGACAGGGUUUAUGUGAGGCCGGCUGAGAUCACUGAGCAUGUGACAGGGCUUUGGGAGUGGUUAAGGGCCACCCAGAUCGGGGUUGAGGCACCGGGGUGCUUAUGGUGAUUAGCAGCAGAGCAAGGCCUGAGGUCUGUGCUCCCCAGGGAGGGUGGCUUUACAGGCACCCACCUGCGGCUUAAGAGCUUCUUGGGCCUCCCACGGCUGAUAAAUCACCACCGGGUGGGUGUGCUUUGUCUGGGCUCCAGCAUGAGCAGACAGCCUGCCCUUGGCAGCUGCAGAGAGCAGCUCCUCUGCCUUCUCUCCCUUUCUUAGUGGGUUGGGCAGGCGCAAAAAUAGAUCCCAGAACCCCAUCUCUUAGGUUUUGCCAAGGGACCCUCCAACUGCUCAUCUAGACAUUCUGGUGGCAUGGAGUUCCUUUCUCAGGUCACAUAACCAUUGGGGGUGCUGAUUUAGGUGUCUCCUGGCAUAGGAUUUGCCCUGGUUUAUCACCUGCUGCUUCUGCUGCUGCUUUUUAAAAAAAUUGAAGAUGGGGUCUCACCAUGUUGCCCAGGCUGGUCUUGAACUCCCAAGCUCAAGUGAUUCUCCCACCUCAGCCUCCUCAGUAGCUGGGAUUACAGGCUCAUGCGACCAUGCCCUGCUUGUCACCUUGCCAUCAAAGAAGAGAGACUUGCAGAAGAGUGUCAGAUUCUAUCCCAUAGUGCAGUAUACCAAGGAGGUGGUCUGCAAAUGGCCAUUGAAUAUACAAAUAGUCUCAGACUUAGCAUUUUCUUUCUCAUGGUUUAUUUUGCUUUGUAUAGUUCCAUGCAUUUGUUGAAAGGAGGAAGAUUGAGAUUUAAAGGAACAUCCCUAGUGGGAUAAUACCCAUCUGCUUAGUGCCUUUUCAGUGCUCAGCACUGUGCUAAGUUAUUUGAGUACAGUCUUUGUUCUCAUAUUUAAUAAAAUCAGACUCUUUUUGACCACCUCAUUCCAU
Long non-coding RNA from Homo sapiens (human), 2586 nucleotides. Ensembl annotates it as long intergenic non-protein coding RNA 511. NCBI's taxonomy places the organism in Eukaryota, Metazoa, Chordata, Mammalia, Primates, Hominidae. The record is from Ensembl.